RNAcentral lists this ribosomal RNA (255 nucleotides) under uncultured bacterium. RNAcentral describes it as "partial 16S ribosomal RNA". It matches the Rfam family "Bacterial small subunit ribosomal RNA", at positions 524 to 777 of the family's 1533-position model. The record is from RNAcentral.
UACGUAGGGUGCGAGCGUUGUCCGGAAUUAUUGGGCGUAAAGAGCUCGUAGGUGGUUCGGUUAGUCGGAUGUGAAAUCUCCAGGCUCAACCUGGAGGGGUCAUUCGAUACUGCCGUGACUAGAGUUCGGUAGGGGAGACUGGAAUUCCCGGUGUAGUGGUGAAAUGCGUAGAUAUCGGGAGGAACACCAGUGGCGAAGGCGACCUCCUGGCCUGUUCUUGACGCUGAGGCGCGAAAGCUAGGGGAGCAAACGGGG